RNAcentral lists this long non-coding RNA (2576 nucleotides) under Eucalyptus grandis. RNAcentral's name for it is "long non-coding RNA (EGRA_LNC007787)". Lineage: Eukaryota; Viridiplantae; Streptophyta; Magnoliopsida; Myrtales; Myrtaceae. The record is from RNAcentral.
UUGGCAGACUUUUGGGGACUUAAUCCUCAUCCAUUCCCCUCCACUCCUACGCACGCCUCACCCCAGCUGGAGACCACCCGUAGCUUCUCCAUUUUCUCUUUCUCUGUUACCGCUCAUCUCCAUCGAAUUCCUCCAUUUCCUUUCCCCAGCUGCCUGUCCCAGUCAGUGGCCACCGGUUCCUCUCAGCUUUAGUCUUCAUCCCUGCAGCCGCCAAGUCUUGUGUCGUCUCCAAGUUCGGUCAACACUGCAGCGCCACCAUCCACCGAAAUUUCCCUUAACCGAAGAAAUCCUCAUGCGUCCGCUGAAGAUCAGCGAAGCCAGCUCCCCUUCUCCUCCGUUCCCUUUGCCACGCUAGCCCACGUGUCUCCCAGCUACCAGAGUUGGUCAACCAACUGACUUCAACGUUGUGGAUUUCGGCCAGCUCAAAGACCAAGCGAAGCUGCUACCGCGCGUCUUCUGGUUGUCUGCCCACCGUCCGCGAGCAGCUCAGCAUCUUCGGUCUCCUCUGCCAACGAAUCCAGCCGCGUGAAGUCCAAGCGAAGCAGCUCCCUUCGUCCGCAUCUUCACCAGCCCUCGUGUCUUCAGCUUCUUCAGUCAGAACCCCAGCGAAGGACCACCGCCGUUGACUCCAAAGCCACCGAAGCCUCCAUUUUCCCUGUUUCCCUCACGGUUGUCGGCGAAGCUUCUCUCCACGCUCCCGUGUUCCAUUGGAUCGGUCAAAGCCCAGCCACCCAUCUCCUUCGUUCAGCCCAAGUGAAGACCGAAGCCCACGGAUCCAGCAGCUUAAGUCCCCUCUUGCGGAUCAGCCCAACCUUCACGCAAGUCUGGCCCACAAGAAUCAGCCCAGCAGGUUUUUGUUUUCAGCAACCCUCAGCCCAUCUCCAACAGAUUUUGAAGUCCAAGUUCAGGCCCAAGUUCAAUUGGUUUUAGCAGCCCAUUUUGGGCCCAAGAAGAAGGCCCAAGCCCGCGACCAGCAGCUUGUAGAAGCCCAAGACCUAAACUCAGCCUUGCUGAGUUGUGUUGGGCCCAUUUUAGGCCCGGCCCAAGUCCGCCGACGCUGCCGAAAAUUAAGAUUUCGGCCGCCGUCGCGUCGUUGUCGCGGUGAACCGGUUUUCACGAUACACCGGUGAGUUUAUACUCUAAACUCUGCUUAGUAGGUUAAUGACGUUUAAGGGGUGUUAGAUUUAUUUUAUUUGGAAUUAGGUGGUUAGUUAGAUUAAAUUAGAAAUUGAAUUAUUGAAUUGAGCAUGUUAGGUGGUUAGCAUGGUUUAGCUAAGGCCUAAAUAAAUUGCACUAUUUAUCUAGUAGGGUUCGGGAAUUUCUCCGAGUCUGUAUUGGUUAUUAAUUUAAUGAUUCUGGCCUAGGUUAGUAUUUUUAGAAUUUAAAUUGAUUUAUUUAAUUAAUUUCAGUAUUUAUUUAAUUAUUAAUUAUUUUUCCGGAAAUUAGGCCGGGAUAGUCAGUGACCGGAAUUUCGUGCUGAUUGCAAUGGUGUGGUUAAUUUAUGCAAUUGAGUGUUAAAUUAUGCAAAUUGAGUGCUGAUUGAAUUUUUAGUAUUUAAUUCCAAAAAUUGUGAAUUUCCAAUAUUUAUUCAGAAAAUCCCAGGUGUCGGGUUUUGACAUCGAAAAUGGUUUUUAGUACUAUAUGAAAUAGUGGGAUUUCAAAAAGGAGGAAUAUCAAUUUUUCUGGAUCAAGUUGACCGUGUACCCACACACGAGUAAUUUCAUGUGAAUUUCUAAUACGAAGAAAAAGGCCAGGCUCACCAUUUUAAUUGAAGCAUUUGAGUGCAAUGCACGAUGUCCUGGGCCAUAUUUGAGUGAUCGUGUGAUGGUUAUGAGAAAUCGUCCCGGGCUGUUGAGCUGGACGUUAUCCCUAUUUGGGAUACCCCCUGGACAACGGGAAGCCGGUCGCAGUUGAUUCUGGACCCUAUGCUCCUUCGGGAAAGCCGUCUGAUAAAGAGACGUGCCGUGCUCAAUGGGGUGAGACGAAGCCUGGCAAUGCCAGAAGACCGCCGAACUGAGAGUAGGCCGUGCUAUAUGCCGAGAUCAAAACUAGGAACGCGUGAUUAAUUGAGUGUGGCGUUUCAGUUAUUUGGAGCUUAUUGUUGCUCAUGCUCUUAUGUUGCCUAUGAUAUAAAUUAUACUGACCUGCAGGGUGGAUCUGAGACAAGGUAAGUCUCCUUGAUUGUGUGAUUGCGUGCUUAGGACGCUUCUGGGCGUAUUUCCCUCCUAAUUGGGGCUUAGAGUUUAGACUCGCUAAGAUGAUAUCUCACCCUGUUAUGGGACACCAUUUUUAGGGUCGUCGAGUGGAGGACCUGGAGCCGAGAGGAGGUGAUCGGAAGCGUAGGUCAGUUAGGACCGCUUCUUUUUGGAAGGCCAAUCUUUUGUAGUCUUUUGGUCAUAGACUCUUGUACAUGACUCAGUGUGAAUAUAAAGGCAUGUUUGUUUAUGAAUUCGUAUCCUGCUUUUCUAUCCCGAGAUGAUUACUGUCAGGGGAUUUCUUUUUGCUUCCGCAUGUGCAAUAAAAUGGAAAGGGUCGGCGACUCAUCUUGGGAAGUCGCAAAUUUUUAUCGACUAGAG